AUACGUAAGAUGCAAGCGUUAUUCGGAAUUACUGGGCGUAAAGGGUGCGUAGGCGGUUAAUUAAGUCUGGUGUGAAAUUCUACGGCUCAACCGUAGAACUGCGCUAGAAACUGAUUAACUAGAGUCCGGGAUGGGAAGGCGGAAUUCCUGGUGUAGGAGUGAAAUCUAUAGAUAUCAGGAAGAACACCGGUGGCGAAGGCGGCCUUCUGGCCUAGGACUGACGCUGAGGCACGAAAGCGUGGGGAGCGAACGGGAUUAGAUACCCCGGUAGUCCACGCCGUAAACGUUGUACACUAGGUGUUAGUGGUAUCGAUCCCACUAGUGCCGCAGUUAACGCAUUAAGUGUACCGCCUGGGGAGUAUGCCCGCAAGGGUGAA
RNAcentral lists this ribosomal RNA (377 nucleotides) under uncultured bacterium. RNAcentral describes it as "bacterial SSU rRNA". It matches the Rfam family "Bacterial small subunit ribosomal RNA", at positions 523 to 898 of the family's 1533-position model. The record is from RNAcentral.